Molecule: ribosomal RNA, 440 nt
Filed under: uncultured bacterium
Lineage: Bacteria
Description: partial 16S ribosomal RNA
Rfam family: Bacterial small subunit ribosomal RNA
Source: RNAcentral
CCUACGGGUGGCAGCAGUAGGGAAUCUUGCGCAAUGGUCGAAAGCCUGACGCAGCAACGCCGCGUGAACGAGACGCCCUUCGGGGUGUAAAGUUCUGUCAGUGGGGACGAAAAAUGACGGUACCCACAGAGGAAGCACCGGCUAAGUCCGAGCCAGCAGCCGCGGUAAUACGGGGGGUGCAGGAGUUGUCCGGAAUCAUUUGGCGUAAAGAGUUAGUAGGCGGGAUGUUAAGUAAGGUGUUAAAGGCGCAGGCUCAACCGGGGUAUGGCACUUGAGACUUGCAAGCUGGAAUGCGGUAGAGGUAGAGGGAAUUCGUGGUGUAGCGGUGAAAUGCUUAGAUAUCAGGAGGAACCUCGAUGGCGUAGGCACUUUACUGGGCCGUAAUUGACGCUGAGGAACGAAAGCCAGGGUAGCAAAUGGGAUUAGAUACCCGAGUAGUC